This 578-nucleotide long non-coding RNA is filed under the name Setaria viridis. RNAcentral describes it as "long non-coding RNA (SVIR_LNC003216)". The record is from RNAcentral. Lineage: Eukaryota; Viridiplantae; Streptophyta; Magnoliopsida; Poales; Poaceae.
UGAUUGGUCCCCUUGAGUAUAUCUAUAAAAAGCCUGCAUCUCUGGAUGAUGUAGAUAACAUACUAGUGGAGAACUCAGCCAACGCUUCAUUUGAAUAAAACUCUGAUGCCCCCUUUUUUCCCCUUCGGAUGCAGGGCACAUGCCUUCGAAUGAAGAGUUCUGAGUUAUGGCCGAAGAUAUUGUUGACAUUGCUGUUCUCCGAGUAUUGGCUAAGGCCUGCAAACUUGUAAUGAAUGAGGAUUGAGUUGAUGUAACUAAAGAUGAUGUAUUUCUUUGUGAGUGAUGCAAUUUGUUAUCCUGUUCUUCAUCUAUUUCUUUAUUAUUAUUGUUUUAUGCGAGGUGCAUUUGCAUCAAAGACCUUCGUUUUAUACUUCGGAACUCCCCCCCCCCUCAGGUGUUUGGUGCAAAGGAGUGAGCAUGAAACAAAUGCUUUCGUAGCCCUUUUGGCUUUUAUUCUUUUACCGAGGCCUUUCUCUAGGCCCAUCGGGUAUCUUGGCUUGCUUCGCGCGAGUACAUUGAUGCCAUUUUCUAGGCCUUCAGCAUUUCUGUUCUCUUUCAAGUUUGCGACUAAGUAAAAG